Drosophila mojavensis is the source of this 742-nucleotide long non-coding RNA. RefSeq lists it as uncharacterized. The transcript is spliced from 2 exons. Lineage: Eukaryota; Metazoa; Arthropoda; Insecta; Diptera; Drosophilidae. The record is from RefSeq and is a predicted model, not a curated record.
CAUGUAACAAAAAUAUUAUUAUUUAGUGAUUCCAUAAUUCAAGUUCUUCAACAGAAUUAAAAUUUUGAAAGUUCCAUAUUCACAUAUUAAAUUAGUUACUUCACCAACUGUCUCAUAUAUUAUUCUUAUCUACCUGUAAAAAUAUCUCAAGUCAAUCAAAUCGUAUUAGCAAUAAUUGUCUCUCAGUCAGAGAAAGCUGCUUGCUCUCAUCCUUGCUCAUGGCUAACCCUUUCAGCGCCAGAAUCUGAAUCAUCGUCCUGCAAUCCAAAUUGCAGUGCAAGCAUUUUAGGUUUAAUGGACGUGAAGGCAGCCACCUCGACCAUGGCAUUAGAAUGAGAAUGAGACAAGUCGGAAAAUUUUCGUAUAUGCAAGGGAAAGAAGUGCACGUAGUUGACUAGGAAAACAAGGGAUGCGGCAGGUAAACGGGGAUAAGCAGUAGCAGGAGGACCGCAGUGCCGCACAAAAAGGACGAAAAGGAAAGGCGCCACCCACAGACGUGACCAUGUUCCUUGCUCUCGCAGUAGCUCCGGAGUCCGGCACACUUGCACCCCGUUUUGCACGAAAUGGAAAAGCAAAAGUGUUGUUGGCGCUUCUUUCGCCUUUGUGCUGUGUCCUGUGCUGUGUGUUCCGUCUCCCUGUGUCCCUUGUCCUGUGUCCUUCGACAUUGUCAUCGUGAGUCGACGCAGUCCCACUCCUCCGAGUCGCACUCGUAUCUUGGCAAUAAAAUAAUGACUCAACUGAA